GUAGGUGGCAAGCGUUGCCCCGGAAUUAUUGGGCGUAAAGCGCGCGCAGGCGGUUCUUUAAGUCUGAUGUGAAAGCCCACGGCUCAACCGUGGAGGGUCAUUGGAAACUGGAGAACUUGAGUACAGAAGAGGAAAGCGGAAUUCCACGUGUAGCGGUGAAAUGCGUAGAGAUGUGGAGGAACACCAGUGGCGAAGGCGGCUUUCUGGUCUGUAACUGACGCUGAGGCGCGAAAGCGUGGGGAGCAAACAGGGAUUAGAUACCCUGGUAGUCCACGCCGUAAACGAUGAGUGCUAAGUGUUAGGGGGUUUCCGCCCCCUUAGUGCUGCAGCUAACGCAUUAAGCACUCCGCCUGGGGAUACGGCCGCAAGGCUG
This 373-nucleotide ribosomal RNA is filed under the name uncultured organism. Its description in RNAcentral is "partial 16S ribosomal RNA". It matches the Rfam family "Bacterial small subunit ribosomal RNA", at positions 527 to 896 of the family's 1533-position model. The record is from RNAcentral.